CCCCCCCAGCCAACAUCCGCUAGCAAGGAGACCUAAUGCAGCAAUGGCCACACUUGCAUUAGUACUUCACCCAUAGGAAAGCACGUAUAAUGCUUUGCUAUUGGGUUUCACUUGACGCUGAAUGUCCUCAUGCAUAGCGUGAGGACAUCCAGCAUCAGUUCGGUGACCAAAAGUUGCCAGAAGUCCCUUUAGUAUCUGUCUUGUAGACAACCACUAGAAGUGGAG
Molecule: non-coding RNA, 225 nt
Organism: Pelobates cultripes (western spadefoot toad)
Lineage: Eukaryota; Metazoa; Chordata; Amphibia; Anura; Pelobatidae
Source: the annotation of a GenBank genome assembly